RNAcentral lists this ribosomal RNA (253 nucleotides) under uncultured bacterium. Its description in RNAcentral is "partial 16S ribosomal RNA". It matches the Rfam family "Bacterial small subunit ribosomal RNA", at positions 524 to 776 of the family's 1533-position model. The record is from RNAcentral.
UACGUAGGGUGCAGGCGUUAAUCGGAAUUACUGGGCGUAAAGCGUGCGCAGGCGGCUCCUUAAGUCAGAUGUGAAAUCCCCGGGCUUAACCUGGGAACUGCGUUUGAAACUGGGGGGCUAGAGUGUGGAAGAGGGGGGUGGAAUUCCAGGUGUAGCAGUGAAAUGCGUAGAGAUCUGGAGGAACACCGAUGGCGAAGGCAGCCCCCUGGGCUAACACUGACGCUCAUGCACGAAAGCGUGGGGAGCAAACAGG